This 440-nucleotide ribosomal RNA is filed under the name uncultured bacterium. RNAcentral's name for it is "bacterial SSU rRNA". It matches the Rfam family "Bacterial small subunit ribosomal RNA", at positions 338 to 771 of the family's 1533-position model. The record is from RNAcentral.
CCUACGGGUGGCAGCAGUCGAGAAUUUUUCUCAAUGGGCGCAAGCCUGAAGGAGCGACGCCGCGUGUGGGAUGAAGGGUUUCGAUCCGUAAACCACUGUCAUUUGUGAACAAUGGUUACCCAUGAAUAGUGGGUGACUUGAUAGUAAUGAAAGAGGAAGGGACGGCUAACUCUGUGCCAGCAGCCGCGGUAAUACAGAGGUCCCGAGCGUUGUUCGGAUUCACUGGGCGUAAAGGGUGCGUAGGUGGCAUGUUAAGUUUGAUGUGAAAGCUCAGGGCUCAACCCUGAAAUGGCAUUGAAUACUAGCGUGCUGGAGGUUUGGAGGGGGGACUGGAAUUCUCGGUGUAGCAGUGAAAUGCGUAGAUAUCGAGAGGAACACCAGUGGCGAAGGCGAGUCCCUGGACAACACCUGACACUGAGGCACGAAAGCUAGGGGAGCAA